SMUUUGGUGGAUGAGUGGCGAACGGGUGAGUAACACGUGGGUGAUCUGCCCUACACUUUGGGAUAAGCCUGGGAAACUGGGUCUAAUACCGAAUAUUCACACCACCGUAGGGGUGGUGUGGAAAGCYUUAUGCGGUGUGGGAUGAGCCUGCGGCCUAUCAGCUUGUUGGUGGGGUAAUGGCCUACCAAGGCGUCGACGGGUAGCCGGCCUGAGAGGGUGUACGGCCACAUUGGGACUGAGACACGGCCCAGACUCCUACGGGAGGCAGCAGUGGGGAAUAUUGCACAAUGGGCGCAAGCCUGAUGCAGCGACGCCGCGUGGGGGAUGACGGCCUUCGGGUUGUAAACUCCUUUCGCUAGGGACGAAGCCACUUGUGGU
Molecule: ribosomal RNA, 378 nt
Filed under: Corynebacterium sp. 11-2
Lineage: Bacteria; Bacillati; Actinomycetota; Actinomycetes; Mycobacteriales; Corynebacteriaceae
Description: bacterial SSU rRNA
Rfam family: Bacterial small subunit ribosomal RNA
Source: RNAcentral